UCACUAUGUAGUUUUGGCUGGCCUGGAU
Molecule: non-coding RNA, 28 nt
Filed under: Rattus norvegicus (Norway rat)
Lineage: Eukaryota; Metazoa; Chordata; Mammalia; Rodentia; Muridae
Source: RNAcentral